GGGGGCGACAUGGCUUCGACGUGGGUGUUGAAACAUCAGGAGCAUUCCGGGGAGUAUGAGGACCUCGUUAAAAACAUGCACACUGUAAUUGGCAACGAUUACGCACUUGCUGCUUAAUUAGUUUUAAGCGCACGGAGCCCACAGAUUCGGACUGUGAUUUGUGAAGCACCGUCAUUAUGCAGUCUCGGGUUCAGUUGCUCUCUGAAGGGCUGAACCUUAAAUACACUUUGGGGAGGGUCCUCACAGAUUUUGUCUGUGGAAGCUGAGGGGACUAACUAUCAAAACAUAGACUAAGAAUGUAGCGCCUGAUCGCGGAUCGCUUGCGGACGCGGGUUCGAUUCCCGCCGCCUCCACCA
Molecule: transfer-messenger RNA, 356 nt
Filed under: Pseudobdellovibrionaceae
Lineage: Bacteria; Pseudomonadati; Bdellovibrionota; Bdellovibrionia; Bdellovibrionales
Also listed under: 1 other name
Description: PSRN01 sp019637875 Standard tmRNA
Rfam family: transfer-messenger RNA
About the family: Bacterial tmRNA, also known as 10Sa RNA or SsrA, is named for its dual tRNA and mRNA-like properties. Its role is to liberate the mRNA from a stalled ribosome. To accomplish this part of the tmRNA is used as a reading frame that ends in a translation stop signal.
Source: RNAcentral